Molecule: non-coding RNA, 48 nt
Organism: Schistosoma rodhaini
Lineage: Eukaryota; Metazoa; Platyhelminthes; Trematoda; Strigeidida; Schistosomatidae
Source: Rfam
AUCCAGUUGACGAGUCCCAAAUAGGACGAAACGCGUAUUAAACUGGAU